ACCCUAAGGCCAGCAGGAGACUACAGAGGAUGUCUGUGAGGGGACAUGAACAUUCACAGCUUCUGAGUUUCUGUUCUACUGAUUCAACCCUCUGGAAAUGGUCAAUCUCCCGCUCUCUCAGUCUAUAAUUACAGAGCUAUUUAUCUCCUUUUUGAUUGGUUUAACUUUACCCGCCCAUGAAAAAGUGCAUGGAGGUCUUGGUAAAUCCUGUCCAGAGGCAGGAGGGGUUCUGUUCAGGCACGGUUCAAUGUGCCUCCUUGUUGACAUGAUCAAAUAUCCAAACAUCACAGGUACAUGGUUUCACGGGUCCCCACUAUCAGGCUGAGUCUAGUUAUCACUAGUUAUCACUAUCAACACACCACAGACGAGCUCCCAGGCUUCCCCACGCAGCACCCAGAGAAAGCCCAGCAUGUGAGGGUACACAGACUGCUUAUAUGGGUGUAAAUAUGUCUUUAAAGACAGGAUGUCACAAAGAGCCCCCACCCCAAACAUUAUAGUACAAAUCUAGAACAGGCAUGUAGAUAUUUACAAGGAUGCUGAAGUAUAACGUUCUGCUAGGAUGUUAACUGUAAGUAACAAAGAUUACAACUGUUAGUAAAGCCUCCAUACUGGAUGUAGAAACCUCUUGUUUAGCUUUCAGCAGUUAUGAGCAAGUUGUCCUUUAAGAUGGAAGCCAGAGUGUGCAAGGAGUAGGAGAAGCCUGUAAGCUAGAGCGACAGCAUCCACACUGUGUUCAGGGGGAGCUACACUGUGUUCAGGGGGAGCUACACUGUGUUCAGGUGGAGAUACACUGUGUUCAGGGGGAGCUACACUGUGUUCAGGGGGAGAUACACUGUGUUCAGGGGGAGAUACACUGUGUUCAGGUGGAGCUACACUGUGUUCAGGGGGAGAUACACUGUGUUCAGGGGGAGCUACACUGUGUUCAGGUGGAGAUACACUGUGUUCAGGUGGAGAUACACUGUGUUCAGGUGGAGAUACACUGUGUUCAGGGGGAGCUACACUGUGUUCAGGGGGAGCUACACUGUGUUCAGGUGGAGAUACACUGUGUUCAGGUGGAGAUACACUGUGUUCAGGUGGAGCUAUAGUAUCCACACUGUGGCACCUUGCAUACGAGUCCUAGAAUAAUGACUGAACAAGCUUACUAUGAAUGGUCUCCAGAUGAUGAGAAAAGCUCCAGACAUUUAGCAUGAGGCUUGAUGAGCAUGUCCUGGAGGCCGUGACUGAGCAGGCAGGGUUAGUGCCCCAGCACCCCCUACAGGCGUGGAGGCAUGGCAGACAUCUGCUUGGGGAGGGGAACAUCUUCAACAGCCAAUCAGGACCAAGCUCCCGGAGAAGUACAACAUCAAAAACCUGGCGACCCAGCAGAACCGUUGCUAUGGACACCAGGCCCCAAGCCACAUCCAGCAGCAUGCUAAUUGGACGGGCAUCGUCCGGGCGGGAGGAGGAGCUGCGAGCAUCGGCGUUGGAGGAGCCUGCAGCAUCCAGCUGGUCCUGAUGAUCACAACAACCAACAGUCAGCGGACAAGUCACACAACCGCACUCAGGGUGAUGUGAACCAGUUUCUGGGCCUGGAGGUACAACCGGGACACAAGAGAAGACAAGAUGACCGUGACUGUGGAGGUCCUGCUAGCUCCAUACAUGCCUCUAACCACUAAAAGCCAUGUGGCCACUUUCAAGAACAUGAAGCAUGACUUUGAAACACUGCAUGAACACUGGAUCCUCUGGUCUCUGUGCUGCCAGUGUGGUAGAGUGUUGGUGACUGAGAUAGAGGCAGGGCUCCACUUCCUCCCUCCAGCUCUGAGGCUGCCCCUAACCCUAACUCUGCACAUGUGUAGAUGAGUCUGAAGGCCUCACAGUAGGUAACAACACCUCCACCUGGACAGCUGAGACCAAACAUCCUCUCAUCCUCUGGAAACUUGCUUUCUUAUUGAUCUUCUGUAGAGGUGCCUUAUGGUGAGUGUGUGUGUGUGUGUGUGUGCAAGAGUGUAUGGUAGUUCAAUAAAUGAAAGUGCUGUAUUCAGGCUAUACCUCUAACCUUUCCUACUUCUACACACACACACACACACGCACAUACAGACACUGACACCCACACACACACACGCACACAGAUGGGAGAUGGGAUAUGUGAAUGAUAAAUAGACUCCAUGGUAGUUUAGGAACAUAACAAACCCAACACACAGUGUUGGAAUAAUGCUCUGAAAGGGAUUGUGGGAAACAAUGAUUAAUGACCAUCCAGGAGGUCCACUAUGGUUCCCAGUGAUAAAUCAUAUUAUCACUAUUAAAAGCCAAUAUGAUAAAUAGCUGUGUUUAAAACUAGGUGAUAUAAUCUUGUUGAAAAUACGUUUUAAACAGAUUUGUUUAUACAGUACAGAAUUUCUUGAGGUUUAUAUGCUUAGGUGAAGACAAUAAGUUCAUGGAGUUCUGAAACAUUUCAACUUCUUAACCCUGUGCUAUUGUAACCUUGUUUUUGUGCCUAUUUUUUGCCUAUUCUUUGUGUGUGUGUUUGCAUAGUCCUUCACACACACACACACACACUACUUCAUACUGUCACUUCCUGUCCUCACACAGACACUUCCUGUCCUCACACAGACACUUCCUGUCCUCAAACAGACACUUACUGUCCUGACACAGACACUUCCUGUCCUCACACGACCUUCCCUGCUGGGUGGGUCUGUCUCUGAGGAGUAGCUGGGCUACGACGGGGUCUGUGUGUGUGUGUGUGUGCGCACCUGUGUGUUACUGUGUGUGCGGAUGUGUGUGUGUGACUGUGUGUGUGUGUAUGAGAGAGAGAGAUGGUCUAUUUGCCCCAGAGGGGUGUUUCUGAUGUGUGUGUGUGUGUGUGU
Hypomesus transpacificus is the source of this 2843-nucleotide long non-coding RNA. RefSeq lists it as uncharacterized. The record is from RefSeq and is a predicted model, not a curated record. The transcript has 3 exons. Lineage: Eukaryota; Metazoa; Chordata; Actinopteri; Osmeriformes; Osmeridae.